CGAGAAUCUUCGGCAAUGGGCGCAAGCCUGACCGAGCGACGCCGCGUGGAGGAUGAAGGCCUUCGGGUUGUAAACUCCUGUCGAGGGGGAAAAAGGGCCGCAAGGUCUUGAUUGAUCCCUGGAGGAAGCACGGGCUAAGUUCGUGCCAGCAGCCGCGGUAAGACGAACCGUGCGAACGUUAUUCGGAAUCAUUGGGCUUAAAGCGCGUGUAGGCGGGUUCGUGCGUCUGUCGCUGAAAUCCCCCGGCUCAACCGGGGAAGGGGCGCGGAUACGACGAGUCUGGAGGGGCAUAGGGGGACCUGGAACUUCCGGUGGAGCGGUGAAAUGCGUUGAGAUCGGAAGGAACGCCCGUGGCGAAAGCGAGGUCCUGGAUGCUUACUGACGCUGAGACGCGAAAGCCAGGGGAGCGAACGGGAUUAGAUACCCCGGUAGUCCUGGCCGUAAACGAUGGGUACUGGAUAGGGGGCUCGCCGAUGGGCUCCCUGUCGUAGGGAAACCGUGAAGUACCCCGCCUGGGGAGUAUGGUCGCAAGGCUG
This 536-nucleotide ribosomal RNA is filed under the name uncultured Planctomycetota bacterium. Its description in RNAcentral is "bacterial SSU rRNA". It matches the Rfam family "Bacterial small subunit ribosomal RNA", at positions 356 to 896 of the family's 1533-position model. Lineage: Bacteria; Pseudomonadati; Planctomycetota. The record is from RNAcentral.